GACGAACGCUGGCGGCGUGCCUAAUACAUGCAAGUCGAACGCAUUUUCUUUCACCGUAGCUUGCUACAUCGAAAGAAAAUGAGUGGCGAACGGGUGAGUAACACGUGGGUAACCUGCCCAUCAGCGGGGGAUAACACUUGGAAACAGGUGCUAAUACCGCAUAAUUCCAUUUACCGCAUGGUAGAAGGGUGAAAGGCGCUUUUGCGUCACUGAUGGAUGGACCCGCGGUGCAUUAGCUAGUUGGUGGGGUAACGGCCUACCAAGGCUGCGAUGCAUAGCCGACCUGAGAGGGUGAUCGGCCACACUGGGACUGAGACACGGCCCAGACUCCUACGGGAGGCAGCAGUAGGGAAUCUUCGGCAAUGGACGCAAGUCUGACCGAGCAACGCCGCGUGAGUGAAGAAGGUUUUCGGAUCGUAAAACUCUGUUGUUAGAGAAGAACAAGGAUGAGAGUGGAAAGUUCAUCCCUUGACGGUAUCUAACCAGAAAGCCACGGCUAACUACGUG
This 507-nucleotide ribosomal RNA is filed under the name uncultured bacterium. Its description in RNAcentral is "partial 16S ribosomal RNA". It matches the Rfam family "Bacterial small subunit ribosomal RNA", at positions 28 to 507 of the family's 1533-position model. The record is from RNAcentral.